AAACUUGGAAUCCUUGACAGUGAACACCUGGCUUCUCAUUACUACCUGAAUUUUAUACUUCCAAGUGUUAAUCUCUCCUCAGGGUUUGCCUUGGAGUUUCAUUCUGGUAUUCAAUGAAACCAUCAGGUUUUCCAGGCACUGACACCUUUGAAAUGUUUUCCACAUGGGAACCAAUAUGAAACAUGUGUGAUUAUUACUGAUUUCGCUGUGUUGAUUUCUAUUAUGGUAGCACCCUGGAAAAAUAGUACAGACAGCAGUAAUAAAAUCUUUCAUUGAAUAACUUCAUACAGCAGGAAGAGCUGUGUUUAAAGGGGCUGGCUUGAUGUGAAGAAGGGAUGGGCAUUGCUAUGAUGAAUGGUGUUGUCAUGAUUAUAACUUGGUUUAAAGGACUCUAAGAAUUUGUGCGUUUUUUAGCCUUGGGAGUAAGUUCUACCAGCACUUCUUUCCUCUUAAAAGCCAUCACUGCUGCCACUCCUCAUAGCUCUAGAUGAAAUACAUGGGCUAGCUGGAACCUGGGAGCAUGCUGAUUGUGAACUCCCAGCUAACAGGGCUACAGUUCAGGCAGAUUACUGUAAUUUCCUUUACUUUACUGAGUGCAGAGUUUUCUUCCCAACCUUUACCAGCCUUAUGAGCAGGAAAAUCUUCUCCUUCCCACAAGACAAAAUGUGUUGGUAACUUUGUACUUUUUACUCCAGACGUUGGAAAACCCAGGCAAAAAGGAUAUCUCUGGGGCUUUUCUUCUGUUAAUCAAAAGGAUUUACUAUCAUGUACCUUAAUAAGAGUUGUUUAAAUCACUCCAGGCCCAAAGAUCUUAUUGACUACUGCAAGGCAAUAGAGGUAAUAAGAAGUCAAAAUCCUCUGAAAGAAAAACACCAAAGUAAGAAUUUCCAUGGAGCUGAAACUCACCCAGAAACAUGAAAACAAAUUAUUUUUAAACAACAGUACAUUUGGGUUUGGAAAGCACCAGGUGCCAAUGAGAAGAAAAACACACAGGUUGUCUUUCCUUGAUCAAGUCCAAGCCCUGAAGCACUUGACAAUUUUUAAAGUUUUCAGUGAAGUCAGGAAGAGCAGACUUACUGCAGGAUUAAGUAGCAUGCUCAGUGAAAGAAAAUAUGUAAAACUUGUUUGGGAUCUGAAGUGGAAAGGAAAAAAAAAAAAAGGAAGCAAAGCAAUGGGAGAUUUUUGUGACUGAUCUAAGCCUGAGCAUCUGAAUUAGUAGUAUCUAACUGAUAAAAGAACAGUUGUCAUGGAAUCCCAGAAGAAAAGUACUGAAGAAAACUGAGAAACCUCAAGUUAACCUAUGGUGAGCUUUAUACAUGAAAUGAAGAAUGCAAAAUGUAAUCAAAACAUCGAAAACUCAAAAGUCCUGAUCAAAGUAGUCUUUGUCUUGAAGUUCAGUAACAAAAAAUGGGAAACACCUUUGAACUACAGGGUUCAACUCAAUGUAUAAUGUGUCAAAGAUGCUAAAGAUGAGCAUCAAAUAUAGUCCAGUAGAACAAGAGAAUUUGUUCUUCACAGGAGACACAGGAAAUUUCAUGUCCCUAUUUCCCAGAACUUAGUUUCAUUUAAAAGCAGCAGGAGUUCAGUUCUUACCACUGACAAAGGACAUCUGAAAUUUUUUUCCCUGGAAAAAACCAUUUUCUUUCUUUAGUUGCACAAUUAUUGGAGAUUUGGGUACAGGCCUGGGACACACUGCUGCAUAUACUUUGAAGGAGACUACAUAAGCUUGUUAUCAGAACUGGAAUGCAAGCAUAUUUCCCCAGACCUUUUGUGAGGUCCAAGAUGCAUGGCAUUUCCCAAAUUCCUUGGGGAUAUCCCAUAAUCUUACCAGUCUCCUGGUUGCUUGUGGAGUAGCUACAGAGUACUGACUCCUACUCAGCUGAGCUCAGGAAGUUGAGAAAAUAAGGAGGUUGAAAAAAUGUGUUCAUAAACAUAUUCUUCA
This is a long non-coding RNA of Taeniopygia guttata (zebra finch), 1942 nucleotides long. NCBI's taxonomy places the organism in Eukaryota, Metazoa, Chordata, Aves, Passeriformes, Estrildidae. The record is from Ensembl.